This 166-nucleotide unclassified non-coding RNA is filed under the name soil metagenome. RNAcentral's name for it is "partial contains 5.8S ribosomal RNA, internal transcribed spacer 2, and large subunit ribosomal RNA". The record is from RNAcentral.
AACGCACGAGACCUGCGGACCUGCGGAGGGAUCAUUAGUGAACGCCCUCGCGGGCUUAUAACUAUUCCAAACCUCUGUGAACCGUGCCCUUCGGGGCUAUUUUACAAACAUGGUGUAAUGAACGUCAUAUAUCAUAACAAAACAAAACUUUUAGCAACGGAUCUCU